AGAUUAAAGAACCGCUGUGAUGUUCAUUUGGCAUUUGCUCUUCCCCGGAGAGCCUAGGAGACUACAUGCACUGGGAGAGGCCAGCUGCCAAGCCUUGAGCAAUCAUAUGAAGAGGGCCCAGCCAUAGCCAAUUGAGUAAACUUAAAAUCAGAACCUCCAAGCCAGUCAAUCCUCAAAUGAUUGCAGCCUUGACUAUCAUCCUGGCUGCAGUUUUAUGAGAGACUCUGAACCAGAAACCAGCCAGAUACUCAGAAGUCACUCGUCGUGUAAGUGGAAGUUUGUAUUCUUUGACCAGUAUUUCCUGAUUUACCUCACUCCCCAACCUUUG
Molecule: long non-coding RNA, 328 nt
Organism: Leopardus geoffroyi (Geoffroy's cat)
Lineage: Eukaryota; Metazoa; Chordata; Mammalia; Carnivora; Felidae
Exons: 3
Source: RefSeq, a predicted model, not a curated record